Trachemys scripta elegans is the source of this 622-nucleotide long non-coding RNA. RefSeq lists it as uncharacterized. NCBI's taxonomy places the organism in Eukaryota, Metazoa, Chordata, Testudines, Emydidae. The record is from RefSeq and is a predicted model, not a curated record. The transcript has 2 exons.
GUGACCUGCAGCUUACAAUUGUAGAUGACCUGCAGCUUCCGAUGGUGGAUUGACUUAUGAUUAUUCAAAAUGGAAGCUUGGGACACAAAAUGGAGUCUGAGGAAUUUCACCGAUAUCAGAAUUCCCCCAGGGGUAAAGGAUUAUUGACCUUUGAAGGAGAUGCUAAAAUGAGAAGCCAUGACCAAGUUUUGUCAUAGACCAGGCUGUGCCCUGAGUGAUCCACAAGCUGGUUCUUCCUUAAAAUGCCUGCAAGGUGUGAUCAUCCUACAGUUCCCCUUUCAGGAAGAUGAUUGCUAUAUUGCACACCUCCACCCUACUCCCUACACUGACGUAUCACCCUUUGUGGUGUUUGAGGAGGGAGGAACUGAAGACAGACUCAGUAUUCGCUGGGCAGAAGAUGGCCCACUCUUCAGUUGAUCUGCCUGAGACUGUAAAGUUGGAGAUGAAGGAAAUCUCUGUCUCAAGGGAAAAGAAGCACAAACAUUUGCAUCAGCACAAUCCCAUUUUAUCACCUCUCAGGAAGAUCUGUAUCAAUCUGCUGCAUUGUAAGCUCUUUUGGCCAGAGACAUUGUAUGCUGCUCUUUAAAGCUCUGAUGACAUGAUAUAAAUUGGAAAGUAAAGA